CACAGGGGUGGCCCAUAGGCAGCCCUCGAUAAUGGUGGUUGCGUCCAAGAACGGCAGCCAGUGCCGCCUUUCUCCUCUUCCUCCCUCAUCCGGCUGCUGCCGGCCUCCCCAAGAAUCGAUCCCCGCUGGAGAGGAAGGCCAGCUGGUCCUUUCUUUCAUCGUGAGGACGGGGACCAGGGGGAAGGUUACAGCCAGUGACUGGUGAAGCCGGAAUUCGAAUCCAGCUCUCUGGGCUUCCUGCGCUCCCACACCCUCCGAGCAGGCUCCGCACUCACUGCCUGUCCGCAAACGCCAGGGCAGGCAGGCAGCCCACAGUCCCGCUUCCGCCCCUGUGCGUCUCCCGGCUUGAGGCCGGGCGUGUGCAGUCCAGGGAGCCCGGGCCGCCUGUGCCCAGCGGCCGGGAGAAAAUCGUGGCUCUCCCUCGCCCGUCCCCCACCCCCACUGCCCGCCUCCGCCACUGCCGGCAUGGCUGGCCCGCUGCCCCGGGAUGCGGUGCGUCAGGGCGCGCAGGUGAGGAGCCUCGGGCUCUGCGCAACCGUGCCCACCGAUGCCCGCGCUGCGCCAGGCGCAGGGACGAGCCGGCGCGCCCCGCUCCCAAUGCAGAGGUUGGUCCUCCCCCGCCCCUCUCCACCCCCAAGCCCGCGCGGUCCCUUCCCCCCACGCCCCUUCUCCAAAGGAAGGAAAUUUACUAGAGAGAGUCCGGGGGCACGGGACCGGGCUGGCUCUCCAGGGCGCGGGCAGCUGAGCCAUGCCCCCGCAGCUCGCCCUCCCAGUCGCCCUCCGGGGGCUGAGGCGCAUCUUUGUUCCGGCCUCCUCCUCCUUUCCUCCCCCCACCCCACCUGUGAUCCCGCAGCGCCCGGGACCUAACUCUGGGCUCCUCUCCCCAAGCCGAGGACUACAUCUUUAAAAAAAAAAAAAAAAAUGAAAGGCAGCCACAUGACAAAGCUUUAUUGCGCUCAAUGACACCCAAGCGGGCCGGCCAGGUUCGCGGGCAGGGGCCCCCUGUGCGGCCGAGGCUCCGAGCAGCCCCUGGCGUGCUCCCCGGCCUCGUGCCCGGCUCUCUGCCGCCCGCAAUCUUGCUGUAAUGUGCCCUGCGUGGGUUCCCCCCCCCCUUCUUCCCCUCCCCUUUGCAGAAGUCUGCAGAUGGAGUCAGGGGAGGGAGCAUAAACAUCUCCCCCGCAUUGACACCGGCCUCCGAGCCCAAGGGGGUGCUCCCCGUGGUCCUCCUCCUGGUUUUCGAGCAUCCCCAUUUAAAGGCUAUGCCGUAUUUCAGCCUUUCCCCCCGCCGUCGGCCAGAGGGCUCGAGAGGGGGAGGGGAACGUCCAUCUCUCCCUCCCCAUUCUUGUUUUUACUCUGGAUGUUACUGCAGCGGCACCGAGGUGACAGGAGCGCUCCGUAGCUCCUCCGAGCCCGGGCUGCUCUCCGAGGCAGGGGAUGCCCCCCGGCCACGCCGCUGGGGACUCGCUCGGCUCCCGGAGGGCUGAGAGGCGGCCUUCGGAAUCCCCAUUUUUUAAAAGUUGUUUAACUACAUUCUUCCGAUGACUGGCAGAAUGACUGCCUGAGAGCGGGAGAGCAGGGACAGUGUGUGGCAGCCUCUAGGAAGUUAGGACCAGAAAGGAAGGCGGGAGGGGUCUAGCAAAGGCGCAGCAGCAUCUCCCAGGACUCCUGGAAUGGUUCAGAGCAGUUCAAUUGGACACAAGUUUGCCCGGGAGUGUUUUCCUUUUGUCAAUAAUUAAUCACUGGAAUCAGCCUGGCAAGACUGGAGUUUUAAAAACAGUGCAGAGGGUGAGGCAGGAGAAACACCUCGGGCUGAUCAAUCCAUCGGUAACUCCAAGCAGGAGGAAGCCAGUAUCCACACUGCUCAUCAGCCCACAGGCAGUCCACUGGGAGCAAGAGAAUGAAAGGGACUGUGGGACUUCAAAGGCUUUGCCAAUGGAGAAUAAACUAAAGCAGGUCCUACCAGACUGGGAAGACUUCAAAUGAAGGCCUAGAAACAGCCUGGAAAAAUCAGAAGAGGCAUAUCACCAGAAGGUUGGCCAACAGAUGAGGAAUUUGUUUUGGCCACAGCAGCUCAGGAAACUAGCUCUUAAGAUCCAACCGACUGCUGCUGGCUGACAUGAUGAAUCUACGGUACGUGAAGGAUUACUUUGCCUGGCUCUAUUACCAGUACACCAUCAUCAGCUGCUGCGCUGUCCUGGAACCCUGGGAACGAUCCAUGUUCAACACCAUCUUCCUCACGAUCGUGGGAAUGGUAGUGUACACGGCCUACGUCUUCAUCCCCAUCCACAUACGUCUGGCUUGGGAAUUCUUUUCGGAAAUCUUUGGAGACCAAAGUACUGCUUCUGCCUCUAAUUGAAAUUGCUCAACACCGAGAGGGAAGGGCCUCUGCACUCUGUGAAGUUCUAUUACGUAAUGAUAUUGUCGCUUAGGCGUUUCUGAUUCGUGUGAACAUUGCACCUUCUUGAAACAUCUGACCUGAAAAACAGACUCUUAUCUAUGCACUACUCUACACUUUCUGGGUUUGAAAAGAUUACUUACUGAUCACAAGUACCCACAAUGCAAAUUUCUCCAUAAGAAAAAUACUUUUCACAUUCUAAAGGCUUUCAAAAAGAAAUAUUAGAACUGUCUGUUCCUCAAAUCCAUGAUUUCAAAUCUAUUUUCUAUCAGAACAAUUUCUUAUUUAAGUCUGUCUGGUAAGCAACAGGGACAGGCACUUAUGAAAGAGAUAGGAAAGAGAGGUUUGGGGUACUAAAAGAGAAGAGUAAAUGAUAUUUUUGUAAGAAAUGAUGCAGGAUAGGUAUUGUCUAUUCUGUUUGACGGCGUAUGAGAGAUAUGUGCCCAAUUACAGGAGCACCUCAAGGCAGCAUCUCCUGGGAAGCUGCCCAUUUCUUCCAAUGGUUUCCCCUCCAUCAUAUAAGAAGGGUUUAAGGCAUCUAUACCUUUACAGAAAACACCUCGUGUAAUCUUUCCCCCCAAAAGCAUGACCAACACUGGGGUCGUAGUAGUUUAAAAUCAACGAUGUUGGUUUUCCUGAAACAUGGAAUAAUUGUAAUUCAAGGUAACUGUGAGCACAAGAAACAGACUCUGAUCAAAGCCAAUUCAGCUACCAUGUCUUCCAAAGUUGUCUUGCCUUGCAUGUUACUACAUAAAUAAAUUUUAAUUUAAAAAAAUCAAAUUGCUUUCUUGUCAUGCUAACACUCAGAGCAAGAAAAGCAUGUGUUUGGGGGCUAUAGGAGGACAAGCUGAUAAAUAGACUGGAAGUAAUAUUCUCACAGCAGGAAGCCUACAGCUCCAACUAAAAGCUUUAAUACAGUGGCUCUAUUGCAGCAGCAAUGAAAUUUAUUAAAUCAUCUUGGAAUGUUUAUUACAGAAAUGAGUUUCUAAUUGUAUUGCUGACUCAAAUGUGAAUGCCAAAGAAUAUGCUUUGUACCUUUUUUUUUUUUCCUUUACUGACAUGCAUUAGUAUUGACGGAAGGGGAGAUGUAAAUAGUGUUUGGACAAUUCCGACAUAUCAGGGAGAAAUUAUUUAUUUGGGAGAGCUCGGGACAGUAAAAUGUUCUGUGUUCAAAGGAAGGAUUUUUGUAUUUGUCAAAAAUAUGGGCAUGUGCUGAAAGUGACCCAGUUCUGAACAGAUAGAUUGAUUGUUUUUUGAAAAAAAUAAAUGUUAGUUUAGUUGUUGUUGUUGUUGUUGUUCUUACGUUAGCAUCUUGAUUUGUAUUUUGUUUUUCUUGCUUUGAGAAACUUAAAAUGUGUUUGAUUUUCCCUGAUCUGAUCUUCUCUGGUUUAUUGUCUUAUAUCUGAAAUCUUAUAUCAUAUAUAUAUACACAUAAAUAUAUAUAUGAUAUAGCUUAUAUCUGGAUAAUGUGAAAUUUCUCUUAACAGAAUUCAAUAGUGAAAAGUCUAAUCCAAAC
RNAcentral lists this long non-coding RNA (3911 nucleotides) under Sarcophilus harrisii (Tasmanian devil). RNAcentral's name for it is "lncRNA (ENSSHAG00000027686.1)". The record is from RNAcentral. Lineage: Eukaryota; Metazoa; Chordata; Mammalia; Dasyuromorphia; Dasyuridae.